This 358-nucleotide long non-coding RNA is filed under the name Ricinus communis (castor bean). Its description in RNAcentral is "long non-coding RNA (RCOM_LNC002551)". Lineage: Eukaryota; Viridiplantae; Streptophyta; Magnoliopsida; Malpighiales; Euphorbiaceae. The record is from RNAcentral.
CUAUCUCCUAUUUAUGAUACCUAUAAAUUUUGAAAAGAAAAACAUGAAUAUAAUACAGGGUGUUUUCUUAUCUUCUUACUCCUUCUCAGUUUGGCUGGAUAAAAGGUCAGUUAUCAAACAUGGAGCUUGAGGCUUUCGAUGAGUGGGAUAAGGUUUUGUUGUAUAUGGGGCUUGAAGCUUAUUGGAAUGAUCGAUCCAACUACUUGUUGGGAAUUAAAAACCUAAAAAUGGGUGAGUUUGUUUCUAGCUAAAAGGAAUGGUUAAUUAUAGUAUUUUAACUUGACAAUGGAAAUCUAUAAAUUUCUAGCAACUAACCUAGUUACAGUUAAUGUUUUACCUCAAUCAAGCAAUAUUUGGC